GUCCACGCAGUAAACGAUGAAUACUAACUGUUAGCGAUAUAAUGUUAGCGGUACAGCGAAAGCGUUAAGUAUUCCACCUGGGGAGUACGCCGGCAACGGUGAAACUACAAAGGAAUUGACGGGGGCCCGCACAAGCGGAGGAACAUGUGGUUUAAUUCGAUGAUACGCGAGGAACCUUACCCGGGCUAAAACGUAGCAGGAAUAAAUUGGAAACAGUUUAGCUAGUAAUAGUCUGCUACGAGGUGCUGCAUGGUUGUCGU
Molecule: ribosomal RNA, 260 nt
Filed under: uncultured bacterium
Lineage: Bacteria
Description: partial 16S ribosomal RNA
Rfam family: Bacterial small subunit ribosomal RNA
Source: RNAcentral